Vicugna pacos (alpaca) is the source of this 284-nucleotide non-coding RNA. NCBI's taxonomy places the organism in Eukaryota, Metazoa, Chordata, Mammalia, Artiodactyla, Camelidae. The record is from RefSeq and is a predicted model, not a curated record.
UGAAGGAGAUUUAGUAGGGAAACUGAGGAUGUGCCUGCACGCGGGACAUCUCACAGAAGUGGCCGGACUUAUCUGCAAACAGAAAUUCCUGCCAAGGAUGAAGGAGAGGAGAAAAAAAGCAGGGUUGAGGUUAUUAUGACCUGAAAGAGUUAUGUGAAGAGCAAUCAGCAAAAGGAUUUCAUAGGAGGUGAGGCAACUGCCUGAAAAGUGUUGAGUGUGAUGGAAAUUCAGGAGGGCUUCUACUGCAGGGGGUACAAAGGUGGAUAAUGGAGAAUCCCAUGUUG